UGCCAGCCGCCGCGGUAAUACGAAGGGGGCUAGCGUUGUUCGGAAUCACUGGGCGUAAAGCGCGCGUAGGCGGACUUUUAAGUCAGGGGUGAAAUCCCGAGGCUCAACCUCGGAACUGCCAUUGAUACUGAAGUUCUUGAAUGUAGUUGAGGUAGGCGGAAUGUGUUGUGUAGCGGUGAAAUGCAUAGAUAUGACACAGAACGCCAAUUGCGAAGGCGGCUUACUAAGCUACGAUUGACGCUGAGGCACGAAAGUGUGGGGAGCGAACAGGAUUAGAUA
This 279-nucleotide ribosomal RNA is filed under the name uncultured bacterium. Its description in RNAcentral is "partial 16S ribosomal RNA". It matches the Rfam family "Bacterial small subunit ribosomal RNA", at positions 506 to 784 of the family's 1533-position model. The record is from RNAcentral.